RNAcentral lists this ribosomal RNA (579 nucleotides) under uncultured bacterium. RNAcentral describes it as "bacterial SSU rRNA". It matches the Rfam family "Bacterial small subunit ribosomal RNA", at positions 55 to 623 of the family's 1533-position model. The record is from RNAcentral.
AUGCAAGUCGAGCGGAAACGAAGAAGUGCUUGCACCUUUGGCGUCGAGCGGCGGACGGGUGAGUAAUGCUUGGGAAUAUGCCUUAUGGUGGGGGACAACAGUUGGAAACGACUGCUAAUACCGCAUAAUGUCUACGGACCAAAGUGGGGGACCUUCGGGCCUCACGCCAUAAGAUUAGCCCAAGUGGGAUUAGCUAGUUGGUGAGGUAAUGGCUCACCAAGGCGACGAUCCCUAGCUGGUUUGAGAGGAUGAUCAGCCACACUGGGACUGAGACACGGCCCAGACUCCUACGGGAGGCAGCAGUGGGGAAUAUUGCACAAUGGGCGCAAGCCUGAUGCAGCCAUGCCGCGUGUGUGAAGAAGGCCUUCGGGUUGUAAAGCACUUUCAGUAAGGAGGAAAGGUUAAGUGUUAAUAGCACUUAGCUGUGACGUUACUUACGGAAGAAGCACCGGCUAACUCCGUGCCAGCAGCCGCGGUAAUACGGAGGGUGCGAGCGUUAAUCGGAAUUACUGGGCGUAAAGCGUACGCAGGCGGUUUGUUAAGCGAGAUGUGAAAGCCCCGGGCUCAACCUGGGAACUG